Molecule: transfer RNA, 58 nt
Filed under: Trichinella sp. T6
Lineage: Eukaryota; Metazoa; Nematoda; Enoplea; Trichinellida; Trichinellidae
Description: tRNA-Lys
Source: RNAcentral
CUUUUUAUGGAUUUUAUUGCAAAAUUUCUGUAUUUAUUAUAUUCAUAUACAUAUAAAU